AAAUAAAUUUUCUCGGUGUCUAAUGAUGAGUUUCAUAGGGCAGAUUCUGAGGUGAAAAUCUGAUUCACCAUUGAUACUCAUUCUAUGGAAUCUGAAGACACUUGAAAACCU
Molecule: small nucleolar RNA, 111 nt
Organism: Phyllostomus hastatus (greater spear-nosed bat)
Lineage: Eukaryota; Metazoa; Chordata; Mammalia; Chiroptera; Phyllostomidae
Product: small nucleolar RNA SNORD90
Exons: 1
Source: RefSeq, a predicted model, not a curated record